GUAGUGGAGUUUCAGUGGUAGAAUUCUCGCCUUUCAUGUAGGCGACCCGGGUUCCAUUCCCGGCCAGUGCA
Molecule: transfer RNA, 71 nt
Filed under: Loxodonta africana (African savanna elephant)
Lineage: Eukaryota; Metazoa; Chordata; Mammalia; Proboscidea; Elephantidae
Rfam family: tRNA
About the family: Transfer RNA (tRNA) molecules are approximately 80 nucleotides in length.
Source: Rfam by way of RNAcentral